Long non-coding RNA from Gadus morhua (Atlantic cod), 5225 nucleotides. NCBI's taxonomy places the organism in Eukaryota, Metazoa, Chordata, Actinopteri, Gadiformes, Gadidae. The record is from Ensembl.
AUGGAUUUCAAUGUUAAUUCUGACUUUCAGUUAAACUUGCUGUGGAAAAAGAGGGGAACAGAGAUAAUUGUUGCAACCCUGCCAUCCCAAGUGAAGGGUCGGAGCCUCUUCAUCCACCACACUGAUCUACGGUGUCUACGACCCCACCUGUGGUUGACAGGAGAGAUAAUUCAGGGAUUGCUGCAUCUCAGUGCCUUCACGUACAACGUGGUGGACACCAUUUACCUAAUGGAUUAUUACACCGCAGGUGUACUUUUAUUUGGUGACAGAGCUACUACACGUCGCCACACUUUACCUAAGGUAAACUUCGAUAACUUUGACGGAAUCCUGUCAUUUGUCCACGUGAACAAAAAUCACUGGAACAUGCUGUACAUUCAUGCAAAGUCUGGUACUGUGUACCAAAUGGAUCCCUCACCAGCAUCCUCUGAGCUUGAGGACUCUACCCAUGCGGCUCAGAGACUACAGGAAUACUUGAAGAUUAGAAAACAUCAGGGGAAAACUGACUGGGUGGAUGUGAAGUGGAAAGGAGGAGUGAUGCCCCACCCAGUGCAAAUGGAUGGUUGCAGCUGUGGUGUCAUUGUUGUUGAAAUGGCCAGAGCAGUGAUGGAAGCCUUCCCUGAGUUCCCCAAAAUGAACUUCUCAACAAAAAGGAGAGCCAUGGAAGAGGCGAGGAGAGAUAUGGCUCUCCAAGUCCUUGAAUCAUCAGGUAUACAAUGCAGUAUACAUCUUUUUUUGAAUAACUUAAAGGCAUUCCAAAUAUAUUCUGAUUAAGGGCCCAAUUUUGAGAAUGAUAUGGUAACAGAAUUGGUGAAUGUGAUUGGCGAAUGCAAUUUCCCUUAGCCACAGGCCUUGCCCAUAUCAGAGUCUCCACCGAUUACCUCUUGCGGGUUUAAAAAAAGGCACAUACCAUUUGCCGAUAAAAUCCCCAAAAUUGGGCCCUAAAUAUGUCAUGCAAAUACACUUUAUUUCAGUCUUUGAUGAGGAGACUUGUUCGAUGUGUGGAGCUGACAAGCCCCCUGGACAAGCACCUCCCGUUACAGACUGGGUGAGUUGUUGUGAGCAGCACAUACAUUUUGUAACGUAAUGUGACAUACAGUGUUGGUAGUAACUAGUAACAAAGUUAAUUAACAAAGAUAAUUCAAUUUUGAUAGCAAUAUGUAAAAAGGCCAAGAAAGUUGAAGGGGUUCAAUGUUCACAGAAAACUUUCUUUGAUUCAAACUUAACCUUUGCUAUAAUCUGCUGGUUUGGUGACCUGAGUCUAACAAACAAAAACAGGGUUUGUUCUACUCGGUCUAUCCUCAGAACAACGAGAGGCAAUGUUGAUAUUAUGACCAAAAGGGGGCGUGCCUCCGUGAAAUGCCGCAAGACAGCUGGGAGAUGUAGCCUAGGCCUACACCUUACGACUCGUACGGCCAGUUCCAUACAACUGGAUCGCGGCAUAACUGUCCUUCUCUUCCUUUCUUCAAAGCUCAUCUCAAGACCUUUCUGUUUAACUUCUCUCCCACUCCAAACACAUAGCUCUAUCCUCUAGACUAGAGGCUCCCUUUGUUUAGUUUAGUUUUUCUCUUUUUUUGUAUUGUUGUUUGUUUGUGGUUGUAUUUUCAUUUCCACUAUGUGAAGUGACCUUGGGUUUGAGAAGGGAGCUAUAUAAAUGGAAAUUAUUAUUAUCACUAUUAUUAUUAUUUACCUGUUUUGAAACCAAAUUGCCCCGUAAGGACAUUUCAGCUCAAUUAAAUUCACCUGGAGGGUCAGGUAACGCAAAAGUAACAAGUGACAUAAGGCAUUACUCCACACAAGUAACGUAAUGAAGUAACUUCCCCAAUGCUGGUGACAUACCACUUAAGCCUAAGUGUCCUACCAAGUGACAAAGUCAUGUACAUGAAUGAAUCAUUAAUUGUUUUUUCAAUUCAACAGAUCCAGUGUGAUAAUUGUGACCGGUGGUUCCAUAACCUUUGCGUGAACAUGGACCAAAAUAAGUUAAAGGAACUCAAGAAAAGGCAAUGGCUGUGUGUUUUAUGCCGAUGACAAGGUUGAGGAAAAUUGUGCCUCGUCCAAGUGCCAGGUUUUGUUUAGAAAUGGGAUUAAAAAAAACGUAAAAGGCGUGUUAACAUCAGAAGAUGUGGAAAGCAUGAAUGGGGAGGGGAGACACACACACACACACACACACACACACACACACACACACACACACACACACACACACACACACACACACACACACACACACACACACAUUUCCAUUUCAUCUAUUCUCUCUGGUUACAGCCAUAUACACUUUGAUAUUGGAUCCCUUCCACUUACUUUAACCCUAGGCUAUACCGUAAGGACUGAAGAUCAAUGCCUGAUUACCAAAAGAUUCUGUUGAGUCAGUGUAUAAAACACAACAGCUGCGUUGAUUGAGAAACGCUUUACACCAAUACUGUGCAUAGUCUGAUUCAUUGCCAUGGAUUGCAAGAAGGAAAUAUUACAGAAAGGUCUGAAGUUAAAAUAUAAUUUGCAAGUUCACAUAAUGAAGUGGGAAAACAAAUGAAGGUGUGUUUGAUUAGUAUAUCAUGAAUGGAAUUCUUAAAAUAUUUAAAGAAAAUUGGAGGUGCAAAAUAUUAAUUUUUAAGGAGGUGUGUGUUGUUAUUACCAUAUUGUAGGACAGGUCCACAUUGGUCUGGGGCCUCUGGGUCCCAUAACUCGGAAGCUAUUGAGCAAAAAGCAAUUUCCCAUAGGAAACUAAUGGGAUUCUUAAAAUAUUCAAAUAAAAUUGGAGGUGCAAAAUAUUAAUUUUUAGUGAGGUGUGUGUUGUUAUUACCAUAUUGUAGGACAGGUCCACAUUGGUCUGGGGCCUCUGGGUCCCAUAACUCGGAAGCUAUUGAGCAAAAAGCCGUUUUCCAUAGGAAAUGAAUGGGAUUCUUAAAAUAUUUAAAUAAAAUAGGAGGAGCAAAAUAUUAAUUUUUAGUGAGGUGUGUGUUGUUAGUACCACAUAGUAGGACAGGUCAACAUUGGUCUGGGGCCACUGGCUCCUAUAACUCGGAAGCUAUUGAGCAAAAAGCCGUUUUCCAUAGGAAAUGAAUGGGAUUUUUAAAAAAUUCAAAUAAAAUUGGAGGUGCAAAAUAUUAAUUUUUAGUGAGGUGUGUGUUGUAAGUACCACAUAGUAGGACAGGUCAACAUUGGUCUGGGGCCUCUGAGUCCUAUAACUCGGAAGCUAUUGAGCAAAAAGCAAUUUCCCAUAGGAAAUGAAUGGGAUUCUUAAAAUAUUUAAACAAAAUAGGAGGAGCAAAAUAUAAAUUUUUAGUGAGGUGUGUGUUGUUAUUACCACAUAGUAGAACAGGUCUAAAUUGGUCUGGGGCCUCUGGGUCCCAUAACUCGGAAGCUAUUGAGCAAAAAGCAAUUUCCCAUAGGAAAUGAAUGGGAUUCUUAAAAUAUUUAAAUAAAAUAGGAGGAGCAAAAUAUUAAUUUUUAGUGAGGUGUGUGUUGUUAGUACCACAUAGUAGAACAGGUAAACAUUGGUCUGGGGCCUCUGGGUCCUAUAACUCGGAAGCUAUUGAGCAAAAAGCAAUUUCCCAUAGGAAACUAAUGGGAUUCUUAAAAUAUUUAAAUAAAAUAGGAGGAGCAAAAUAUUAAUUUUUAGUGAGGUGUGUGUUGUUAGUACCACAUAGUAGGACAGGUCAACAUUGGUCUGGGGCCACUGGCUCCUAUAACUCGGAAGCUAUUGAGCAAAAAGCAAUUUCCCAUAGGAAACUAAUGGGAUUCUUAAAAUAUUUAAAUAAAAUAGGAGGAGCAAAAUAUUAAUUUUUAGUGAGGUGUGUGUUGUUAGUACCACAUAGUAGAACAGGUAAACAUUGGUCUGGGGCCUCUGGGUCCUAUAACUCGGAAGCUAUUGAGCAAAAAGCAAUUUCCCAUAGGAAAUGAAUGGGAUUCUUAAAAUAUUUAAAUAAAAUAGGAGGAGCAAAAUAUUAUUUUUUAGUGAGGUGUGUGUUGUUAGUACCACAUAGUAGGACAGGUCAACAUUGGUCUGGGGCCACUGGCUCCUAUAACUCGGAAGCUAUUGAGCAAAAAGCAAUUUCCCAUAGGAAACUAAUGGGAUUCUUAAAAUAUUUAAAUAAAAUAGGAGGAGCAAAAUAUUUAUUUUUAGUGAGGUGUGUGUUGUUAGUACCACAUAGUAGAACAGGUAAACAUUGGUCUGGGGCCUCUGGGUCCUAUAACUCGGAAGCUAUUGAGCAAAAAGCCGUUUUCCAUAGGAAAUGAAUGGGAUUCUUAAAAUAUUUAAAUAAAAUAGGGGGAGCAAAAUAUUAAUUUUUAGUGAGGUGUGUGUUGUUAGUACCACAUAGUAGGACAGGUCAACAUUGGUCUGGGGCCUCUGGGUCCUAUAACUCGGAAGCUAUUGAGCAAAAAGCCGUUUUCCAUAGGAAACGAAUGGGAUUCUUAAAAUAUUUAAAUAAAAUAGGAGGAGCAAAAUAUUAAUUUUUAGUGAGGUGUGUGUUGUUAGUACCACAUAGUAGGACAGGUCAACAUUGGUCUGGGGCCUCUGGGUCCUAUAACUCGGAAGCUAUUGAGCAAAAAGCAAUUUCCCAUAGGAAAUGAAUGGGAUUCUUAAAAUAUUUAAAUAAAAUAGGAGGAGCAAAAUAUUAAUUUUUAGUGAGGUGUGUGUUGUUAGUACCACAUAGUAGAACAGGUAAACAUUGGUCUGGGGCCUCUGGGUCCUAUAACUCGGAAGCUAUUGAGCAAAAAGCAAUUUCCCAUAGGAAACUAAUGGGAUUCUUAAAAUAUUUAAAUAAAAUAGGAGGAGCAAAAUAUUAAUUUUUAGUGAGGUGUGUGUUGUUAGUACCACAUAGUAGGACAGGUCAACAUUGGUCUGGGGCCUCUGGGUCCUAUAACUCGGAAGCUAUUGAGCAAAAAGCAAUUUCCCAUAGGAAAUGAAUGGGAUUCUUAAAAUAUUUAAAUAAAAUAGGAGGAGCAAAAUAUUAAUUUUUAGUGAGGUGUGUGUUGUUAGUACCACAUAGUAGAACAGGUAAACAUUGGUCUGGGGCCUCUGGGUCCUAUAACUCGGAAGCUAUUGAGCAAAAAGCAAUUUCCCAUAGGAAACUAAUGGGAUUCUUAAAAUAUUUAAAUAAAAUAGGAGGAGCAAAAUAUUAAUUUUUAGUGAGGUGUGUGUUGUUAGUACCACAUAGUAGGACAGGUCAACAUUGGUCUGGGGCCACUGGCUCCUAUAACUCGGAAGCUAUUGAGCAAAAAGC